This 253-nucleotide ribosomal RNA is filed under the name uncultured bacterium. RNAcentral's name for it is "partial 16S ribosomal RNA". It matches the Rfam family "Bacterial small subunit ribosomal RNA", at positions 524 to 776 of the family's 1533-position model. The record is from RNAcentral.
UACGUAGGUGGCAAGCGUUGUCCGGAUUUACUGGGCGUAAAGAGCGCGCAGGCGGUCGUUCAAGUCGCGUGUGAAAGCCCCCGGCUCAACUGGGGAGGGUCACGCGAUACUGAUCGACUCGAAGGCAGGAGAGGGAAGUGGAAUUCCCGGUGUAGUGGUGAAAUGCGUAGAUAUCGGGAGGAACACCAGUGGCGAAGGCGACUUCCUGGCCUGUUCUUGACGCUGAGGCGCGAAAGCUAGGGGAGCAAACGAG